RNAcentral lists this long non-coding RNA (3718 nucleotides) under Homo sapiens (human). Its description in RNAcentral is "non-protein coding lnc-UNC13D-1:1". The record is from RNAcentral. Lineage: Eukaryota; Metazoa; Chordata; Mammalia; Primates; Hominidae.
AUAAGCGGGGUUUGGGAAAUUUUACAGAACCCCCAACCUGCUCAUUUCUUCCAUGGCUAUAUUAAUGGGUUUUUUUGUUGGUUUUUAGUUUUUUUGUAGAGAUGAGGUCUCACCAUGUUGCCCAGGCUGGUCUCAAACUCCUAGGCUCAAGCGAUUCACCCGCCUCAGCCUCCCAAAGUGCUGGGAUUACAGGUGUGGGCCACUGCGCCUGGCCCUAUGAAUGGCUUUAUUUAUUUAUUUGUUUUUGAGACAGAGCUUCUCUCUUGUUGCCCAGGCUGGAGUUCAGUGGCGCCAUCUCAGCUCACUGCAACCUCUGCCUCCUGGGUUCAAGCGAUUCUCCCGCCUCAGCCUCCUGACUAGCUGGGAUUACAGGUGCCCGCCACGGUGCCUGGCUAAUUUUUUUGUAUUUUUAGUAGAGAUGGGGUUUCACCAUGUUGGCCAGGCUGGUCUCAAACUCCUGACCAGGGGUCAUCCGCUCGCCUCGGCCUCCCAAAGUGCUGGGAUUACGGGCGUGAGCCACCGCGCCCAGCCCUAUGAAUAGUUUUAAUGCCGCACUAUUGAGAGGUUAUGAGAGCUGACGUGCCGGGCAGCUGCUUGGGAGAAAGGCCCAGUGUCUGGGUGACGUCGCGUCUCCAUACUGUCUCAUUGAGGCUUUUCCUCUUUUCUCAUCACAGCAUCCUAAUGUCCUAUGAUCACGUGGAACUCACAUUCAAUGACAUGAAGAACGUGCCAGAAGCCUUCAAAGGGACCAAGAAAGGCACUGUCUACCUUACCCCUUACCGGGUCAUCUUUCUGUCCAAGGGCAAGGAUGCCAUGCAGUCCUUCAUGAUGCCAUUUUAUCUCAUGAAAGACUGUGAGAUCAAGCAGCCCGUAUUUGGUGCAAACUACAUCAAGGGAACAGUGAAGGCGGAAGCGGGAGGUGGCUGGGAAGGCUCUGCUUCCUACAAGUUGACUUUCACGGCAGGGGGCGCCAUUGAGUUCGGACAGCGGAUGCUCCAGGUGGCAUCUCAAGGUAUCCAGGCUCCGAAGAUUAGGGGCUAAAGACACACUAAACAUGUAGGGGUUUGGUAUGAGUUUGCUUCCUUUUCGUUUUGCUUUUUCAAGAACUCAAGAGGUAAGUGUUUGGGCACCAGGCUGACCAGGCCUAGGAGUUGGGAAGGAAAGCUGUCAUUGGCAUCAGCUCUGUCCUGUACCUCAGAGACUGCGUUUCCCUGCCUGGGGCAGGUGGAUGACGUUUUGACAAAGCUGUUUGGACUCAAGGACACUUUACUAUGGCCUCAUAAAACAAACACUAAACCAACCAUUCGACUGCGGUUCCGCAGCCAUUGAAAAUGACCGAGGGAUGGGCCAGCAGACAUCCUCCGCCAGCUCACUCCUACCCCAGCCCUGAGCCUCCCUCCCGGCCUCUGUCCACCCUCCAGCCUUGCCCUUGACCUCCCUUGCCUUCCCCUGGCUCUGACCUCUCCCGUCCUCUCUCAUCCCUGACCAAGGUGGCCCCCCGAGUAUGGGUGGAGGGUGGAGUGGGAUGGACAGAGGAUGUCUGCGGGGCACAUUCCUGAGACCCAGUAGCUCCCAUCUGCAGGCAGCGGGGCUGCCCUCUCCCCGCCCCAAGGCAGGCCACGCUCAUUUCUCUUUCCCCUUGUACUCGUAGCCUCCAGAGGUGAAGUCCCCAGUGGAGCCUAUGGCUACUCUUACAUGCCCAGCGGGGCCUAUGUCUAUCCCCCGCCAGUCGCCAAUGGAAUGUACCCCUGCCCUCCUGGCUACCCCUAUCCACCGCCCCCACCUGGUGAGUGUGUCCUUUGCUGCCCCCACUCCCCUCAUGAGCCCACCUACCCAGGCUCCCCCCAGGCCAGGGAGACUUUAUUCCUUGAGCUGCUUCAGGACCAACGAAGGAGCUGGAGAGGCCCCCCUCACCCGGGAGGGGGCCGCAGCCGGGUGCUCACCAUGUCCUUGUUACUCUCUCACCGAGCAGAGUUCUAUCCAGGACCCCCCAUGAUGGACGGGGCCAUGGGAUACGUGCAGCCCCCACCACCGCCCUACCCUGGGCCCAUGGAACCUCCGGUCAGCGGCCCCGAUGUCCCCUCCACUCCUGCAGGUGAGGGCCCUUGGGUGCUGGCAGCCCUUCGGGACCAGCCCUCUCCUCCCCGAUGUCGCACAGAGAGCCUCAGAAUGGCCAGAGACUGCUGAGAGCCGCAGAUGAUGGAUGACCCCUGGACUACCCCAGGGGCCCAGCAGGGCUGUGGCCUGGUGGAGCGGAGCUAGAUUCUGGCCCCACCCCCAUCCCUUAGCUAUCCAUGUGCCCUGGGCGGGGAAGGUCACCCUGUGUGCCUCUCGAUCCUCUCAUCUACACUCAGCUGGUCGGUCACAGUGGCACCUGGGGCAUUGGCUCAAGGAUUAGAUGAGGUGAGACAUGCGAUGGGCCUGGAAAGGACCGUGCCAGCGCGUGGCAUGUGCUCAGGAAACCUCACCUGCUGCUCUCAUUGGUGGAACUGGACCCCCAGCACCAGCUGCCCCGAGCCAUGGGGGCCCGGGGUCUCUUAGCUGAGCUCAGGGGGAGGAGAACUUGUCACCGACACCAGGUGUGUUUGCUCUCACAGCCGAAGCCAAGGCCGCAGAAGCAGCCGCCAGCGCCUAUUACAACCCAGGCAAUCCUCACAACGUCUACAUGCCCACGAGCCAGCCGCCGCCACCUCCCUACUACCCACCGGAAGAUAAGAAGACCCAGUAGGCCCUCCUGCCUCCCUGCCUCCCACCCUCAUCUCUCUACCCUACCCCUCCCAUCGGGGCUGUGCUGGGGCUUGGGGAGGGGAGGGGGCGCCUUGUUCUCCCUCCAGGUCUGAUCAUAAACAAUUACCAGGAACUAGCAUUGUGGGACAUUAGGGCCCCCGGCCUCGGGAGAGGUGCCGCCCAGCUUCCCAUGCCAGCCCGGAGCCCACAGUGCUGCCCAGCGUACCUCCCUCACCGUCUGGGGCUCUUCUGGGAGCACGGAGCAUCCCCUGUUCCUGUUUCACUCUCAGCUUCUCCCCUCGAAGGGACUCUCUGGCCACCUCCUCCACCGCAGUCCAGCUCCCUCAGUCUGGCACCCACUGCUACACUCAGCCUCAUGAGCCACUUCAGACCAGCCAGGUGUCUUCCCGGGCCCUGCCAGACCCUGCUCACAUUCCCUCUGCUGGUCUGUGCUGGUCUCAGAAGGCCACCGCGCCCGCAUUCCACUCAGCCAGGGUCCAGCUGCAGCCCCCGCCACCCUUCCUUCCCUUCCCUGUCCUGGGUCAUGUUGUUGCCACCCUGUGUGACUUUUGAAGCUGUAAAAUGAGCUUCCAGGGCUUGGGUGGCGUCGGGGCAGGGCCGCCGAGGCUGGGAGGAAGCCCUUCUGCCUUUUGCUGGUGUUUCUGGAAUUUGCUUUCCCUCACCUCUCACUUCCUUCUAGAAGGAGCUUCCUGACUGGAACCAGAGAAUGCAUGUCUGUCCACUUGGUGGCUGCUGGGUGGGGCCGGGAACAAGGGCCCCUGACCCUGUGUGCUGGCCGGGACCUGCCACCAGCCCCCCAGCCUGCUUCUUCCCCUUAAGCUUUGUGCCCCUGGAUGCGCUAACAUUCACUCUUGUUUGUCCCUGGACUGGCCAUGAAGUGAGGAGAUGGUUAUUUAAAGAGAAUUCCCUAUUUAUUUGACAAAAAAUCCAGUUAAUAUAUUAAUGUGAAAUAAACCCUGUUUGCACCUCG